RNAcentral lists this non-coding RNA (24 nucleotides) under Rattus norvegicus (Norway rat). The record is from RNAcentral. Lineage: Eukaryota; Metazoa; Chordata; Mammalia; Rodentia; Muridae.
CAUAGACUUGCCUCGUUAUACUAA